UUGAAUAGUUCGUGGUGCUGUGCUGGCCUCUCGGGGCAUGUGCACGCAUUGCAUCUAUUAUCCACCUUCAUGUGAACCAGUGUAGGCUUUGUCGUUCGUAGGUAGUCUGGUGUAAAAGCCGGGCUGAAGCGAGCUUCGGAGUCUAUGAUUUUAUACACCUUUUUGUAUGUUUUUGAAUGUCACUUUAUUGACUGCAAAGUCAGUAAAAACCUAUA
This 215-nucleotide unclassified non-coding RNA is filed under the name uncultured Agaricales. Its description in RNAcentral is "sequence contains ITS1". Lineage: Eukaryota; Fungi; Basidiomycota; Agaricomycetes; Agaricales. The record is from RNAcentral.